Molecule: ribosomal RNA, 425 nt
Filed under: uncultured bacterium
Lineage: Bacteria
Description: partial 16S ribosomal RNA
Rfam family: Bacterial small subunit ribosomal RNA
Source: RNAcentral
GUGGGGAAUCUUAGACAAUGGGGGAAACCCUGAUCUAGCCAUGCCGCGUGAUCGAUGAAGGCCUUAGGGUUGUAAAGAUCUUUCAGGUGGGAAGAUAAUGACUGUACCACCAGAAGAAGCCCCGGCUAACUCCGUGCCAGCAGCCGCGGUAAUACGGAGGGGGCUAGCGUUGUUCGGAAUUACUGGGCGUAAAGCGCACGUAGGCGGAUUGGAAAGUUGGGGGUGAAAUCCCGGGGCUCAACCCCGGAACUGCCUUCAAAACUCCCAGUCUUGAGUUCGAGAGAGGUGAGUGGAAUUCCGAGUGUAGAGGUGAAAUUCGUAGAUAUUCGGAGGAACACCAGUGGCGAAGGCGGCUCACUGGCUCGAUACUGACGCUGAGGUGCGAAAGCGUGGGGAGCAAACAGGAUUAGAUACCCCAGUAGUCC